AGAACGAACGCUGGCGGCAUGCCUAACACAUGCAAGUCGAACGAUCUCUUCGGAGAUAGUGGCGCACGGGUGCGUAACGCGUGGGAAUCUGCCCUUGGGUUCGGAAUAACAGUUGGAAACGACUGCUAAUACCGGAUGAUGACGUUAAGUCCAAAGAUUUAUCGCCCAGGGAUGAGCCCGCGUAGGAUUAGCUAGUUGGUGAGGUAAAGGCUCACCAAGGCGACGAUCCUUAGCUGGUCUGAGAGGAUGAUCAGCCACACUGGGACUGAGACCACGGCCCAGACUCCGUACGGGACGGC
RNAcentral lists this ribosomal RNA (299 nucleotides) under uncultured soil bacterium. RNAcentral describes it as "partial 16S ribosomal RNA". It matches the Rfam family "Bacterial small subunit ribosomal RNA", at positions 26 to 349 of the family's 1533-position model. The record is from RNAcentral.